UACGUAGGGUGCAAGCGUUGUCCGGAAUUACUGGGCGUAAAGGGCGCGUAGGCGGCCGAGCAAGUUAGAUGUGAAAGUCCUGGGCUUAACCUGGGGACUGCAUUUGAUACUGCUUGGCUUGAAUUCGGGAGAGGAUAGCGGAAUUCCCAGUGUAGAGGUGAAAUUCGUAGAUAUUGGGAAGAACACCGGUGGCGAAGGCGGCUAUCUGGACCGACAUUGACGCUGAGGCGCGAAAGCGUGGGGAGCAAACAGG
RNAcentral lists this ribosomal RNA (253 nucleotides) under uncultured bacterium. RNAcentral describes it as "partial 16S ribosomal RNA". It matches the Rfam family "Bacterial small subunit ribosomal RNA", at positions 524 to 776 of the family's 1533-position model. The record is from RNAcentral.